This is a non-coding RNA of Pelobates cultripes (western spadefoot toad), 474 nucleotides long. The record is from the annotation of a GenBank genome assembly. Lineage: Eukaryota; Metazoa; Chordata; Amphibia; Anura; Pelobatidae.
AGGCACUGUAUUUAUGUGACAGGGUCUGUCUGUCUGUGAGAGGCACUGUAUUUAUGUGACAGGGUCUGUCUGUCUGUGAGAGGCACUGUAUUUAUGUAACAGGGUCUGUCUGUGAGAGGCACUGUAUUUAUGUGACAGGGUCUGUCUGUGAGAGGCACUGUAUUUAUGUAACAGGGUCUGUCUGUGAGAGGCACUGUAUUUAUGAUAGGGUCUGUCUGUGAGAGGCACUGUAUUUAUGUGACAGGGUCUGUCUGUGAGAGGCACUGUAUUUAUGUGACAGGGUCUGUCUGUGAGAGGCACUGUAUUUAUGAUAGGGUCUGUCUGUGAGAGGCACUGUAUUUAUGUGACAGGGUCUGUCUGUGGGAUAAAACAGUAUGUGAGGGACAGACAGUGAAAAGCCUAGUGUGAGAGACAGUAUGUGGGGGGACACGGUGAGUGGCCUAACGUCAGAGUAAGGGUUAGAGGUGCCAACAG